RNAcentral lists this ribosomal RNA (1249 nucleotides) under uncultured Ehrlichia sp. Its description in RNAcentral is "bacterial SSU rRNA". Lineage: Bacteria; Pseudomonadati; Pseudomonadota; Alphaproteobacteria; Rickettsiales; Anaplasmataceae. The record is from RNAcentral.
AUACUGUAUAAUCCCCGCGGGGGAAAGAUUUAUCGCUAUUAGAUGAGCCUACGUUAGAUUAGCUAGUUGGUAAGGUAAUGGCUUACCAAGGCUAUGAUCUAUAGCUGGUCUGAGAGGACGAUCAGCCACACUGGAACUGAGAUACGGUCCAGACUCCUACGGGAGGCAGCAGUGGGGAAUAUUGGACAAUGGGCGAAAGCCUGAUCCAGCUAUGCCGCGUGAGUGAAGAAGGCCUUCGGGUUGUAAAACUCUUUCAAUAGGGAAGAUAAUGACGGUACCUAUAGAAGAAGUCCCGGCAAACUCUGUGCCAGCAGCCGCGGUAAUACGGAGGGGGCAAGCGUUGUUCGGAAUUAUUGGGCGUAAAGGGCACGUAGGUGGACUAGUAAGUUAAAAGUGAAAUACCAAAGCUUAACUUUGGAGCGGCUUUUAAUACUGCUAGACUAGAGGUCGAAAGAGGAUAGCGGAAUUCCUAGUGUAGAGGUGAAAUUCGUAGAUAUUAGGAGGAACACCAGUUGCGAAGGCGGCUAUCUGGUUCGAUACUGACACUGAGGUGCGAAAGCGUGGGGAGCAAACAGGAUUAGAUACCCUGGUAGUCCACGCUGUAAACGAUGAGUGCUAAAUGUGAGGAUUUUAUCUUUGUAUUGUAGCUAACGCGUUAAGCACUCCGCCUGGGGASUACGGUCGCAAGACUAAAACUCAAAGGAAUUGACGGGGACCCGCACAAGCGGUGGAGCAUGUGGUUUAAUUCGAUGCUACGCGAAAAACCUUACCACUUUUUGACAUGAAGGUCGUAUCCCUCCUAACARGGGGAGUCAGUUCGGCUGGACCUUACACAGGUGCUGCAUGGUUGUCGUCAGCUCGUGUCGUGAGAUGUUGGGUUAAGUCCCGCAACGAGCGCAACCCUCAUUCUUAGUUACCAACAGGUAAUGCUGGGCACUCUAAGGAAACUGCCAGUGAUAAACUGGAGGAAGGUGGGGAUGAUGUCAAAUCAGCACGGCCCUUAUAAGGUGGGCUACCCACGUGCUCCAAUGGCAACUACAAUAGGUUGCGAGACCGCAAGGUUUAGCUAAUCCAUAAAAGUUGUCUCAGUUCGGAUUGUUCUCUGCAACUCGAGAGCAUGAAGUCGGAAUCGCUAGUAAUCGUGGAUCAUCACGCCACGGUGAAUACGUUCUCGGGUCUUGUACACACUGCCCGUCACGCCAUGGGAAUUGGCUUAACUCGAAGCUGGUGUGCUAACCGCAAGGAAGCA